CCUCCUCCAGGCCCUCCUCAACAUCACCGGCGACGACGGCAUGGGGAAGACGACGGCGGCAGCUGCGGAAGUCAACCCCAACGAAGGCGGAUCCUCCUCAACAUCCCAGGCUCCUCCUCCUUCAGGAUCUAAUUCUUGAUUCUUGCGUCGGUCUGAACUGUGCGAUUUACGUUUCGUCAGAGGUCUGUUCUUGGGAUUCUGGUGCUGUUGAUCUCAUCAAGGGCCUCAUCUGCUUUCUUUCAUCUUGUGAAGGUGAUA
Molecule: long non-coding RNA, 258 nt
Organism: Triticum dicoccoides
Lineage: Eukaryota; Viridiplantae; Streptophyta; Magnoliopsida; Poales; Poaceae
Exons: 3
Source: RefSeq, a predicted model, not a curated record